UGAAAAUCUUUACCCUCAGUGACCAUUUUCCU
RNAcentral lists this non-coding RNA (32 nucleotides) under Mus musculus (house mouse). Lineage: Eukaryota; Metazoa; Chordata; Mammalia; Rodentia; Muridae. The record is from RNAcentral.